UACAGAGGGUGCGAGCGUUGUCCGGAAUUAUUGGGCGUAAAGCGCGCGCAGGCGGUCCUUUAAGUCUGAUGUGAAAGCCCACGGCUCAACCGUGGAGGGUCAUUGGAAACUGGGGGACUUGAGUACAGAAGAGGAAAGCGGAAUUCCAAGUGUAGCGGUGAAAUGCGUAGAGAUUUGGAGGAACACCAGUGGCGAAGGCGGCUUUCUGGUCUGUAACUGACGCUGAGGCGCGAAAGCGUGGGGAGCAAACAGG
RNAcentral lists this ribosomal RNA (253 nucleotides) under uncultured bacterium. RNAcentral's name for it is "partial 16S ribosomal RNA". It matches the Rfam family "Bacterial small subunit ribosomal RNA", at positions 524 to 776 of the family's 1533-position model. The record is from RNAcentral.